AACUGGAAUAAUUGAGGGCAAAAUUAAGGCCCCUUGAAGGGGCCUUUCGUUACUCAGGUUCUGAGACCUUAGCCGCUUU
RNAcentral lists this transfer RNA (79 nucleotides) under Salmonella phage vB_SenS_ER21. RNAcentral's name for it is "tRNA-Ser". The record is from RNAcentral. Lineage: Duplodnaviria; Heunggongvirae; Uroviricota; Caudoviricetes; Sarkviridae. RNAcentral also lists the same sequence under 2 other names.